GAUGAACGCUAGCUACAGGCUUAACACAUGCAAGUCGAGGGGCAGCAGGAUCUAGCAAUAGAUUGCUGGCGACCGGCGCACGGGUGAGUAACACGUAUCCAACCUGCCGAUAACUCGGGGAUAGCCUUUCGAAAGAAAGAUUAAUACCCGAUGGUAUAAUCAGACCGCAUGGUCUUGUUAUUAAAGAAUUUCGGUUAUCGAUGGGGAUGCGUUCCAUUAGGCAGUUGGUGAGGUAACGGCUCACCAAACCUUCGAUGGAUAGGGGUUCUGAGAGGAAGGUCCCCCACAUUGGAACUGAGACACGGUCCAA
Molecule: ribosomal RNA, 310 nt
Filed under: uncultured bacterium
Lineage: Bacteria
Description: bacterial SSU rRNA
Rfam family: Bacterial small subunit ribosomal RNA
Source: RNAcentral